This 354-nucleotide long non-coding RNA is filed under the name Capsicum annuum. RNAcentral's name for it is "long non-coding RNA (CANN_LNC000705)". The record is from RNAcentral. Lineage: Eukaryota; Viridiplantae; Streptophyta; Magnoliopsida; Solanales; Solanaceae.
AUAUCAAAUAAAGCAAUAGUUGGUUGAUGGCAUACUAAAAUUGUACCUAUAAUAACAACAUCUAAAGACUCUAUCUUUGACCUACUAAGUACGACAUAUAAUAAUAUCAUCCACCACCUAGUUAGGUGUUUGAUCGACCACCUGCCCUACCUAUCUGAGGACCUACUCGAGAACCCUAAGGACCACCCUUACGACCUUACAUACCUGCUCUAAUUGGGGCGGCACUACUCUAAACAGAUAAACGCUCUAUGUUGCAGGAACAACUACCCCACAAUGGAGAAAUUCUCAAGAACAAUGAUCGAUGGCUCCACAAUCAUAGCAUCCCCUGCAUUCCACACUCUUUUCAAAAGAUUC